UCUGGCUCAGGAUGAACGCUGGCGGCGUGCCUAACACAUGCAAGUCGAACGGAGUGUCGAGAGCUUGCUUUGACACUUAGUGGCGGACGGGUGAGUAAUGUAUGAGCAACCUGCCUUCAGAGGGGGACAACAGUUGGAAACGACUGCUAAUACCGCAUAACGUGCGGGGAGGGCAUCCUCCCUGUACCAAAGGAGCAAUCCGCUGAAAGAUGGGCUCAUAUCUGAUUAGCCAGUUGGCGGGGUAACGGCCCACCAAAGCGACGAUCAGUAGCCGGCCUGAGAGGGCGGACGGCCACAUUGGGACUGAGACACGGCCCAGACUCCUACGGGAGGCAGCAGUGGGGGAUAUUGCACAAUGGGCGCAAGCCUGAUGCAGCGAACCGCCGCGUGAGUGAAGAAGUAUUUCGGUAUGUAAAGCUCUAUCAGCAGGGAAGAAAGACCCGCAAGGGGGAUGACGGUACCUGACUAAGAAGCCCCGGCUAACUACGUGCCAGCAGCGGC
RNAcentral lists this ribosomal RNA (501 nucleotides) under uncultured bacterium. Its description in RNAcentral is "bacterial SSU rRNA". It matches the Rfam family "Bacterial small subunit ribosomal RNA", at positions 18 to 518 of the family's 1533-position model. The record is from RNAcentral.